RNAcentral lists this small nucleolar RNA (96 nucleotides) under Brachypodium distachyon (stiff brome). Its description in RNAcentral is "Small nucleolar RNA SNORD96 family". It matches the Rfam family "Small nucleolar RNA SNORD96 family". From Rfam's summary of the family: snoRNA Z37 is a member of the C/D class of snoRNA which contain the C (UGAUGA) and D (CUGA) box motifs. Z37 acts as a methylation guide for 5.8S ribosomal RNA. The record is from Rfam by way of RNAcentral. Lineage: Eukaryota; Viridiplantae; Streptophyta; Magnoliopsida; Poales; Poaceae.
GGACAAUGAUGAAAAACACGAACAAAAUACACCAUCUUUCGGGACUGAUUGGCACGCUUUGCGUGCCAUGCUGUCAAAUCUGCAAUUCUGAUGUCC